CCAGGAGUGGAGCCUGCGGCUUA
RNAcentral lists this non-coding RNA (23 nucleotides) under Arabidopsis thaliana (thale cress). The record is from RNAcentral. RNAcentral also lists the same sequence under 5 other names. Lineage: Eukaryota; Viridiplantae; Streptophyta; Magnoliopsida; Brassicales; Brassicaceae.